GCCCUCGUAGCUCAGUGGAUAGAGCGACCGCCUCCUAAGCGGUCGCAGGUCGCAAGGUUCGAUUCCUGCCUUGGGCGCCA
RNAcentral lists this transfer RNA (80 nucleotides) under Rhodocyclaceae bacterium. RNAcentral describes it as "tRNA-Arg". It matches the Rfam family "tRNA". From Rfam's summary of the family: Transfer RNA (tRNA) molecules are approximately 80 nucleotides in length. Lineage: Bacteria; Pseudomonadati; Pseudomonadota; Betaproteobacteria; Rhodocyclales; Rhodocyclaceae. The record is from RNAcentral.